AGAACAAAGACGAGAGCCGCCGUCCACGCCAAGCUGAAGCAGGAGAAGAAGCUCGAGAAGCGCAAGAAGGUCAAGGCCCGCGACGCUUCCCGCGACGCCGCCGAGAAGCGAGCUCUCGAGCUCGGCGAAGAGCCUCCGGCCAGGGGAGUGCCGAAGACGAUUGAGAACACCAGGGAAGAGGAUGAGACUGUUUGCAGGCCUGACGAUGAAGAGUUGUUUGCUGGAAAUGAUGUGGAUGAGUUUAGUGCGGUUUUGAAGCAUGGAUCUAAUCCAAAGAUACUGAUCACCACUUGCCGAUUUAACUCUUCUAGGGGUCCUGCUUUUAUAGAGGAACUACUUUCGGUAAUCCCAAAUUCGACUUACUAUAAAAGAGGAACUUAUGACUUGAAAAAGAUUAUAGAAUAUGCAAAUAAAAAGGACUUCACUUCUUUAAUUGUUGUUCAUACCAAUCGCCAUGAACCAGAUGCUCUCCUAAUAAUUGGCUUACCUAGCGGACCUACUGCUCAUUUCAAGCUCUCAAAUAUCAAGAACCAUGGAAAUCCAACCAGUCAUAAGCCUGAGCUUGUAUUAAACAACUUUACAACACGCCUUGGCCAUUGUAUUGGAAGAUUAAUACAGUCAUUUUUCCCUCAAGAACCAAACUUUCCACAACCAGCGAGAUUUUGUAUUCUUCCGGCAUCAUCGGUACAUUUUUGAAACCAAAGAGGUUAAACAAGCUGAAGCAAAGGGAAAAAAGACCAAGGAUUCCAAGGCUAUGACUGUUACUGAAGCAAAACCAAUUGCCCGCCUACAGGGUGGUGAAUGUGGUCCUCGAUUUACUCUCAAAUUGAUCAGUCUGCAGCAUGGGACAUUUGAUCCUAGAGGCGGGGAGUUUGAGUGGGUUCACAAGCCGGAGAUGGAUACUAGCAGGAGGAGGUUUUUUCUGUGAGUUGCUUUGGAAUAUCUCUCGAGCUCUUCUUCUGGUGGAACGAGUGUUGGAAGUUAUAGAGUUGCUCCACCCUGGCAAGAAGUAAAUCAGGCAGAACAUUUUUCAUUUAUGUUAAGAUCCGCAUUCUGC
Molecule: RNA transcript, 1057 nt
Organism: Fragaria vesca subsp. vesca
Lineage: Eukaryota; Viridiplantae; Streptophyta; Magnoliopsida; Rosales; Rosaceae
Gene name: ribosome production factor 1-like
Exons: 11
Source: RefSeq, a predicted model, not a curated record